CGGAGAUCACGCCACUGCACUCCAGCCUGGGCGACAGAGCAAGGUUCCAUCAAAAAAGAAAAGAAAAGAAACCGGCGGGCCAUCCGCGGCGGGUCCAGCUCCGGUCGCAGCAGCUGGGACCCACACCAGGCCAUUCACUGGGGUGCCAUAGGGCAGCUGCGUGCAGUGUUUGGAUAGCAGGACGCAGACGGCGGGGUCGCGGGGCUUCGGGGUGUCCUCGGCCCCAGGCCGUCCAGCCAUGUGGACCAAAUGAAGUCCCGCACGCCACGUGCUGAGGUACUAGUGGGUGCCCCUCGUGCGGGGUCAGCCCUCCUGCAGGCGGUGCUCACGGUACGGGCUGGCGAAAGUGGAGACGGACGGCAGGAUGGAUUCACUUGGCCACAUGGCCGGGAGCUAGGACGACUCACACCGGUGAGUGGCUGCCCGGGUGGGCUGGUCGGGGCGCGGGCAGGGGGGCAUGGUUCUGCCAAGGAUUUUGCUUUGUUUAUCGCAAGAUGGGGGUAUUUCCUCCUUUCUGCAGUUUAUAAUUGCGUGAAUUAGUGCAGUGAAUUGAGGAUGCAGUAAAAAUAAUAUCUUCAAAGAUUAUUAAAUUCGUUAUUAUAAAACACAUACGAGUUUACGUGUGUGUAUGGAAAGCAGGUAUACAUCAAAAAUUCUUAAUGAAUACAAGAAAGAGAACUACCAAUAUUGGAGCAAAUUUUUCAAAUACAAACACCAGUGAAUAUAGGCAAGGCCUUUUCUUUUAUUAUUAUUACUAUAAGUUCUAGGGUACAUGUGUACAACGUGCAGGUUUGUUACAUGGGUACACAUGUGCCAGCAAGGCCUUUUCAAUAAUGUCUUACAAGGAGAAACGUGGCUCCUCUAGGUAAACAGCCCUUAGUGCGCAUCUCCCUGAAGUCCAGAUGGAUCCGGUAGAGCUGUGGGGUUCACAGCUCACACUGAGGCAUUUAGGGCCUAAAUGCCACUUUACUUUUUUGUACAGUGAGUAGGAAAUCAGUGAUCUAAAUGAGUUUAAAUCUUAUUAGGGAUUUGAACUGCGCUUCAGACUCUGUCUCUAUUCCUCCCAGAGCUAGAUUCAACAUGAAUUAAAAUACAAAUAUAAAACGAUGAAUUAUGAUAGUGACAAAGACCUUCCUUCGAACUUCAGAUUUUUCCAGCAGCCCCUUUCUUUCUGUUUCCCACCUGCCUUCAACUCUUUCUCCUAAAAAAGUUCAGUUGGGGUGAACGUUUGGUGACUUAGAACAUCAUUAUUUUAACAUGAUCCCAAAGCGGUUUUCAUUAUAUGCAAAGAUGCAUAUUUAUUUACAUUUUAAAAAAUGUUCUAAAUUGGUUUCUUACGUCCAAAAGAAGGGGAGCUAGUUAUAAGAAAAGAGAAUUGAGUAAGGUAAGAAAGUGCUAAUCAUUUCAAAUCAAAGUGGGAAACAUGCAAAGCAGAAAGAAUCAACUUCAUAAACUCAACAAAUUAUUAAUGUAAAUAAUUCCCAACUCCUGUAUCUAUAUAACAUUAGUGAUCUGUGAGGUGAACUGAGAUUCUGAAUAAAAAGUAAAUAAUAAGACCAUUUUUCUAAGCCAAAAAAGUUUUUGUCUUAUUAAUUGUGGAAUUUCACCAAUUAAUUUUUUUCAAAUAAAAUUUCUUAAACUUUCAGUGCCUACUAUUGCUUGUGGGUUAAUAAACCCUAGCAGAAAACAAAAUCAUCAAGGAAAUGGUAAACAUUAAUGGGAAAUUUGUGUAACCUUAAUUCUUAACGUCUUAUUAAUUAAUUUUUAAAAUGUGAAGGUGUAUUCUUGGUGUUUGGUAAUUAACUAAGUUUAUUAACCUCUCACAAAUAUGAGGAAUUUUAUUCCCUAAAGGAACAUGAGGAACACUAGUAGUUCAAGAAAAUGCUGAAGGUGACCUUGGCUGAGAAGCUAGGAUAGGCUGACGAAGUCAGACUUAGUGUAGGAACCUGGUAAGCGAUGGAUCGAUGUUAGCUGUCUUCACUUAUUGCACUAGUAUAAUCAGUUUGAUGAUACAUACUUUAGCCCCAGUUGUUACUUAAGACCUGGUUUCACAUUUUAUGUUCUUUUUCCUGUGCAGGCUGGGAAAGGGUUUCUUCUGGCCAUAAAAACUACUCCAAUGGCUGUGGCAGACUAAAUUCCAAUUCCGGUUGAUACAGCCAUCAAUCUCCCGCUAGCUGGAGGAUGGUGUGCUGCAGUUCACAGGUGUGGAUGCUCAAGUGGGCUUUCAAAGAUUUCAUGAGAGGGAGGGUUCAUCUAUUAGGCACAUUUUCCAAAUAUAGGCAUUUCAUUGUAUAAGACCCCAAAUGUGAGAGGGUGUUCAUUUCAAUAUUUUAUAGAGUUCCUAAUAUGCCAUCAUAUAUAUGUUGAGUUGUUUUCAAAAUACAGUUUAGUACUUGGCUACUCACAAAGUAAUAAAACAUUUAAAUCACUUAACCAAAAAAUUCUUGAUAACCAAAAGGCUUUUCUUUCUAUUGGUAGUUUAACAUUCAGCCUUCUUUUUUAGGGCAAAGGAGAUAGAACUGGAUGAAAUGAGAGAAUAUUUUUUUUUAGUUGAACUCUGGUUAAUGCCAAAAGUGUUCAAUCACUAUGUGUGGGGAAGUUUCCUGGUACAAAGGAAAAAAAGAAAAACAGGUUGUUCAUACAUUUGGCUGCGUUAGUAAGUGGUAAACAGAAUUAAAUUUUUCUUAUGUGAACUCACACAUAUGUGCUUCAUAAUAUGUCACUCCUAUUUAACACAUGUCUUUCACACACACACGCACCCCCCCACACACAGCCUUUUGCUACUCUUCUUCCAGUUUGCUUAUUAACCCAAAGAAAGAAAAAAAUACAGAAGCCUUCUUGCAUAGGUUGCCUUAAUCAGAUGAAUUAUGGAAACAACUCUGUCUCCCUUAUUUUUCUUUCAUUAGUUUUCCAUUCUGUUGUAUUUAUUUAAUUUUUAUUUCAUUUUCCAGACCUAAGUCAAUGUUAGUCUACCACUGUACAUCUGGUAACCUCAAUCCCUGCAAUUGGGGCAAAAUGGGAGAAAUAUACAUCAGAUAUGGUUGAGUGCAGAAAAAUAAAGGAGAUUAAAGAAGUAAAUAGUGUUGUGGGAAGGCUGCUAUUUGAUAUGUGAUGGCCAAAGAAAGUCUCUCCGAUAAGGUGUCUUCUUAGUAGAGACCUGAAAUAAAUGAGAGGGCAAAUCAGAAGGACAUGUGGAUGAAAUAUUCCAAGUUGAAGAAACAGAUUCCAGGUCUUGCCAACCUUUGAAAUUCCAAUUCCAUUUGAGAGAGCUUUUAGGAGGCCAUAUGCUGAUUUCACCACCAGCAACUUCACAACCCAGUACUGGAAUGCCAUCAGCCACCAGGCCCCUACCAUCAUCUAUGACUUCUAUCUGUGGCUUACUGGAAGGAAACUCAGGGCCUGUGCAUGCCAGACAAGUCCAAGCCAGCUCAAAGAACAACCAGCCACUUCUGCCACCUGCCACCUCUGCAAACUGCCACUUCCUGCUGGCAGGAUUUGUUUUGCAUCCUGUGAAGGGCCAAGGAGGCACCAGGGCAUAAGUCUACUCACUUAUAUCUGUUUGUCUGGAAUGUAACCCAUGUUUGUUUGUACAAUAAAUAAAAUUGAUCUUGAAUGAAAA
Non-coding RNA from Macaca mulatta (Rhesus monkey), 3619 nucleotides. The record is from RefSeq and is a predicted model, not a curated record. NCBI's taxonomy places the organism in Eukaryota, Metazoa, Chordata, Mammalia, Primates, Cercopithecidae.